UACGUAGGGACCGAGCGUUGUCCGGAAUCAUUGGGCGUAAAGAGCUCGUAGGCGGUUUGUCGCGUCGAAUGUGAAAACCCGGGGCUCAACCCCGGGCCUGCAUUCGAUACGGGCAGACUAGAGUUCGGUAGGGGAGUCUGGAAUUCCUGGUGUAGCGGUGAAAUGCGCAGAUAUCAGGAGGAACACCGGUGGCGAAGGCGGGACUCUGGGCCGAUACUGACGCUGAGGAGCGAAAGCGUGGGGAGCAAACAGG
RNAcentral lists this ribosomal RNA (253 nucleotides) under uncultured bacterium. RNAcentral's name for it is "partial 16S ribosomal RNA". It matches the Rfam family "Bacterial small subunit ribosomal RNA", at positions 524 to 776 of the family's 1533-position model. The record is from RNAcentral.